RNAcentral lists this ribosomal RNA (434 nucleotides) under uncultured archaeon. Its description in RNAcentral is "bacterial SSU rRNA". It matches the Rfam family "Archaeal small subunit ribosomal RNA", at positions 19 to 458 of the family's 1478-position model. The record is from RNAcentral.
GGACCUGACUGCUAUCGGAUUGAUACUAAGCCAUGCGAGUCAUUGUAGCAAUACAAGGCAGACGGCUCAGUAACGCGUAGUCAACCUACCCUAUGGACGGGAAUAACCUCGGGAAACUGAGUAUAAUGCCCGAUAGAACAUUGUACCUGGAAUGGUUUAUGUUCCAAAUGAUUUAUCGCCGUAGGAUGGGACUGCGGCCUAUCAGUUUGUUGGUGAGGUAAUGGCCCACCAAGACUAUUACAGGUACGGGCUCUGAGAGGAGUGGCCCGGAGAUGGGUACUGAGACACGGACCCAGGCCCUAUGGGGCGCAGCAGGCGAGAAAACUUUGCAAUGUGCGAAAGCACGACAAGGUUAAUCCGAGUGGUUUCUGCUAAAGGAACCUUUUGUCAGUCCUAGAAACACUGAUGAAUAAGGGGUGGGCAAGUUCUGGUGU